Long non-coding RNA from Colossoma macropomum (tambaqui), 146 nucleotides. RefSeq lists it as uncharacterized. NCBI's taxonomy places the organism in Eukaryota, Metazoa, Chordata, Actinopteri, Characiformes, Serrasalmidae. The record is from RefSeq and is a predicted model, not a curated record. The transcript is spliced from 3 exons.
CUCUUUUUCACUGCAUGGUACCAGCUCGACUUGACUCUACUUGCUUUUUUUGGUUUUCCACUAGGCAGAUCUGGCACCUGGAAGCGAGCUGAACCAAUACCAGAAGGUGAUGUAAAAAAGCUAGUGACUACAGAUUGGUUGGAGAG